This is a non-coding RNA of Struthio camelus australis, 1392 nucleotides long. The record is from RefSeq and is a predicted model, not a curated record. Lineage: Eukaryota; Metazoa; Chordata; Aves; Struthioniformes; Struthionidae.
GGGUCUUGCUAUGAGUUGAACCCUGAGGAUGUGAUACAAAGCAAGAGGCUGGAGUGAAUGGCUGCUUCCCCACAUAGAAGGAGUUAAACCCUACUGUUUGAGGAUUAUGUGCAGAAGCAGUAUUUCAGGAUCACAUCAGUAAAGGACAUCAAGCGCCUUCGAUAGGAACUACAUGGAUACCAAAUGUUUAAAUCCCAGUAACUACUCCUCGUAGCCCCACAUAGGAGCUGCUCUGGGACUGCAAAGUCUACAGGACAAGGUAAAUGCAGAGUGCAAUCAAGUGCAAACAGUGUGGAGUACAAGGCAGCAAAGAACCACACCUUGAAACAGCAUGAUUUAUUGAGUACUUGGCAUUAAAGGGGAAGGGCCCUUCCUUACCACCUGUUGCAGAAGCUCUUCAAUGAAGACACAAUGAAACUAAGUAGAUAAAUCUCAAUCAAAAUAAGUGAUAGGUAGAAAACUGUGAAAGGUGAAAUUAAAGCCUAAAGUCUAAUUAUGUACAUAGCUGAUGGGUAAAUUCUUUCCCACAUGUAUAGGCAGAUUAACAUGAAAGGAGGGAACAGCCAAGAGGAUCAAGGGAACCUACAAAGGCCUUUCCUCUCUUUUUAAACACUACAGUGUAGUGCAUAGUCUCCCAGCUGUGUGGCCUGGCCCUCAUUAACAUGCCCAGACCUUAAGGGGAUGGAAGUGCCAGCAGCUCUGCGGGGUUGGGGGUGGGGGAAUAAACUGAUGGAGAACAUCAGUUCUGCAGAUGGUUUGGUGUUGAUGAUUCAUACUCUCGCAAGACAGCAGGAUCAGUGUCUUUCCCCUUCAUCACUGUCCUUGAGUUACCACGCUAUGAACGUUCUUUGUGAUCUCUUCAUACUCCAACAAUUGCAGCAUCUUAAAGAGCAGGACCAUUAAACUAGAUUUAAUUUAACUAUAGGUUUGAGUUGUGCUUAUAGUAUUUUUUUUUUGUAUUUUUAUCUCAGGAUUGUUUUGCAAAUAAACUCUUGUGGUGUAAAAUAAAAGAUAAAUUAUCUGCCACCUCCCAUCCACUGUCAGCCAAGUUUGCCCAAUUACAUCACACAAUGAGAUUUUUGAAGGCUAUGGCCAAGUUAUUGAGUCACCUCCCACCUCCCACUGUAAGCUUUAUGGUCUAGUACAAUAGGAAAAGGUUUGCCGAAGUUUUGAAUAAUGCUACCAGCUCACAUGAGUAGAUAGAUAACAAGAAGUAUGGAUCAUGGAGAAAUUCAGAUAAAUAUCAGAAAAUAUUUACUGCAACAACUAGAGCUGUUAAACUGUGGGGUUUAAGCUGCAUUGAAACGCUGGCAUCUUCAGCAACAUGGCCCUUAAUGAAGCCUUACCACAGUAUUGAUUCAGAGAAGGAUGACUUUUAUUACAUAUAUUUUA